Molecule: ribosomal RNA, 2903 nt
Filed under: human gut metagenome
Description: bacterial LSU rRNA
Rfam family: Bacterial large subunit ribosomal RNA
Source: RNAcentral
UUAAGCGACUAAGCGUACACGGUGGAUGCCCUGGCAGUCAGAGGCGAUGAAGGACGUGCUAAUCUGCGAUAAGCGUCGGUAAGGUGAUAUGAACCGUUAUAACCGGCGAUUUCCGAAUGGGGAAACCCAGUGUGAUUCGUCACACUAUCAUUAACUGAAUCCAUAGGUUAAUGAGGCGAACCGGGGGAACUGAAACAUCUAAGUACCCCGAGGAAAAGAAAUCAACCGAGAUUCCCCCAGUAGCGGCGAGCGAACGGGGAGGAGCCCAGAGCCUGAAUCAGUGUGUGUGUUAGUGGAAGCGUCUGGAAAGGCGCGCGAUACAGGGUGACAGCCCCGUACACAAAAAUGCACAUACUGUGAGCUCGAUGAGUAGGGCGGGACACGUGGUAUCCUGUCUGAAUAUGGGGGGACCAUCCUCCAAGGCUAAAUACUCCUGACUGACCGAUAGUGAACCAGUACCGUGAGGGAAAGGCGAAAAGAACCCCGGCGAGGGGAGUGAAAAAGAACCUGAAACCGUGUACGUACAAGCAGUGGGAGCCUCUUUAUGGGGUGACUGCGUACCUUUUGUAUAAUGGGUCAGCGACUUAUAUUCUGUAGCAAGGUUAACCGAAUAGGGGAGCCGAAGGGAAACCGAGUCUUAACUGGGCGUUAAGUUGCAGGGUAUAGACCCGAAACCCGGUGAUCUAGCCAUGGGCAGGUUGAAGGUUGGGUAACACUAACUGGAGGACCGAACCGACUAAUGUUGAAAAAUUAGCGGAUGACUUGUGGCUGGGGGUGAAAGGCCAAUCAAACCGGGAGAUAGCUGGUUCUCCCCGAAAGCUAUUUAGGUAGCGCCUCGUGAAUUCAUCUCCGGGGGUAGAGCACUGUUUCGGCAAGGGGGUCAUCCCGACUUACCAACCCGAUGCAAACUGCGAAUACCGGAGAAUGUUAUCACGGGAGACACACGGCGGGUGCUAACGUCCGUCGUGAAGAGGGAAACAACCCAGACCGCCAGCUAAGGUCCCAAAGUCAUGGUUAAGUGGGAAACGAUGUGGGAAGGCCCAGACAGCCAGGAUGUUGGCUUAGAAGCAGCCAUCAUUUAAAGAAAGCGUAAUAGCUCACUGGUCGAGUCGGCCUGCGCGGAAGAUGUAACGGGGCUAAACCAUGCACCGAAGCUGCGGCAGCGACGCUUAUGCGUUGUUGGGUAGGGGAGCGUUCUGUAAGCCUGCGAAGGUGUACUGUGAGGUAUGCUGGAGGUAUCAGAAGUGCGAAUGCUGACAUAAGUAACGAUAAAGCGGGUGAAAAGCCCGCUCGCCGGAAGACCAAGGGUUCCUGUCCAACGUUAAUCGGGGCAGGGUGAGUCGACCCCUAAGGCGAGGCCGAAAGGCGUAGUCGAUGGGAAACAGGUUAAUAUUCCUGUACUUGGUGUUACUGCGAAGGGGGGACGGAGAAGGCUAUGUUGGCCGGGCGACGGUUGUCCCGGUUUAAGCGUGUAGGCUGGUUUUCCAGGCAAAUCCGGAAAAUCAAGGCUGAGGCGUGAUGACGAGGCACUACGGUGCUGAAGCAACAAAUGCCCUGCUUCCAGGAAAAGCCUCUAAGCAUCAGGUAACAUCAAAUCGUACCCCAAACCGACACAGGUGGUCAGGUAGAGAAUACCAAGGCGCUUGAGAGAACUCGGGUGAAGGAACUAGGCAAAAUGGUGCCGUAACUUCGGGAGAAGGCACGCUGAUAUGUAGGUGAAGUCCCUCGCGGAUGGAGCUGAAAUCAGUCGAAGAUACCAGCUGGCUGCAACUGUUUAUUAAAAACACAGCACUGUGCAAACACGAAAGUGGACGUAUACGGUGUGACGCCUGCCCGGUGCCGGAAGGUUAAUUGAUGGGGUUAGCGGUAACGCGAAGCUCUUGAUCGAAGCCCCGGUAAACGGCGGCCGUAACUAUAACGGUCCUAAGGUAGCGAAAUUCCUUGUCGGGUAAGUUCCGACCUGCACGAAUGGCGUAAUGAUGGCCAGGCUGUCUCCACCCGAGACUCAGUGAAAUUGAACUCGCUGUGAAGAUGCAGUGUACCCGCGGCAAGACGGAAAGACCCCGUGAACCUUUACUAUAGCUUGACACUGAACAUUGAGCCUUGAUGUGUAGGAUAGGUGGGAGGCUUUGAAGUGUGGACGCCAGUCUGCAUGGAGCCGACCUUGAAAUACCACCCUUUAAUGUUUGAUGUUCUAACGUUGGCCCCUAAUCGGGGUUGCGGACAGUGUCUGGUGGGUAGUUUGACUGGGGCGGUCUCCUCCUAAAGAGUAACGGAGGAGCACGAAGGUUGGCUAAUCCUGGUCGGACAUCAGGAGGUUAGUGCAAUGGCAUAAGCCAGCUUGACUGCGAGCGUGACGGCGCGAGCAGGUGCGAAAGCAGGUCAUAGUGAUCCGGUGGUUCUGAAUGGAAGGGCCAUCGCUCAACGGAUAAAAGGUACUCCGGGGAUAACAGGCUGAUACCGCCCAAGAGUUCAUAUCGACGGCGGUGUUUGGCACCUCGAUGUCGGCUCAUCACAUCCUGGGGCUGAAGUAGGUCCCAAGGGUAUGGCUGUUCGCCAUUUAAAGUGGUACGCGAGCUGGGUUUAGAACGUCGUGAGACAGUUCGGUCCCUAUCUGCCGUGGGCGCUGGAGAACUGAGGGGGGCUGCUCCUAGUACGAGAGGACCGGAGUGGACGCAUCACUGGUGUUCGGGUUGUCAUGCCAAUGGCACUGCCCGGUAGCUAAAUGCGGAAGAGAUAAGUGCUGAAAGCAUCUAAGCACGAAACUUGCCCCGAGAUGAGUUCUCCCUGACUCCCUGAGAGUCCUGAAGGAACGUUGAAGACGACGACGUUGAUAGGCCGGGUGUGUAAGCGCAGCGAUGCGUUGAGCUAACCGGUACUAAUGAACCGUGAGGCUUAACCUU